Asparagus officinalis (garden asparagus) is the source of this 551-nucleotide long non-coding RNA. RefSeq lists it as uncharacterized. The transcript is spliced from 2 exons. The record is from RefSeq and is a predicted model, not a curated record. Lineage: Eukaryota; Viridiplantae; Streptophyta; Magnoliopsida; Asparagales; Asparagaceae.
CGCUGCUGAUGGCGACAGCGUCUCUGCUGUGGUCUCCUCCCUUCUCUUCAUCGCCUUCGUUGGCCUCUCCCUGCUCACCGUUGGGGUUAUAUACUUGGCGGUGCAGGAUUUCCUGCAGAAGAGAGAGAGGGACAAGUUUGAGAAAGAGGAGGCUGCUAAAAAGAAGAAAGGUGGGAAGAGAACUAAGGUUAGAGCGAAGACCGGACCGAGAGGUUUCGGGCAAAAGAUCGAAGAGGAUGACGAUGAUGAUGAUGAUCGAGCCUAAUAAUAACGUGAGAUAUCUUUUUUUUUUAUUUUUUCUAUUCAUGCCUGUUACCUAGUUUUGAUAGGACCCAGGAAUCUGAACUUUUUUUUUCAGCAAUGAACUUGACGCUACAUCGCUUGAGAAAAACUCCUGAGAAUUCGAAUCAGUUUAUAAAACAAUCGCCAUUUUUGUAUAUAGAUGGAAGAAGUUUAGAUUGAAUCCAAUGAGAGAAAUUACUUUUUGAGGAGAACUCUGUUCAAUGUUGAAUUUGAGUAUUGAUUAUUACAAGGUUGUUGUAAGAGCAAAA